This is a small nucleolar RNA of Ornithorhynchus anatinus (platypus), 138 nucleotides long. The record is from RefSeq and is a predicted model, not a curated record. NCBI's taxonomy places the organism in Eukaryota, Metazoa, Chordata, Mammalia, Monotremata, Ornithorhynchidae.
UGCCUCUCAGGGUCACACGUGGAGAGUUUCCAGUACUCUACAAGUCUCGACUAUGAGAGGGAGAGUCAAGCAGAGACCUGUCCAUUCCAUUCCUAGCUUGGGCAGUGGCUAGUGAAUGGAAAGCCAUCUGCUACAAGA